CAGCCUUGGCAUCUGAUGUUUUCUGAACACUUGAGCCAAGCUCGGCAUCUAUGUCAAUCGCAGUACGGCCGUCUGCUCCAAGAUUAUUGUGUGAGUUGGAGCUAACACGUAUCAUGAAAGACUCGUCGCUCAUAGUGUGCACAUUCUUCUUUUCCUCCACAGUGGGUCUCUUGUAAUGUGCCUCGGCGAGGGGGUCCAAAGAGCUCCCCCUGUCCAUUGAGUUGUCAUGUCCAUAAACCAUGAAGUCAUCAUUUGCCCCUCUUCUGUAUCCCCCACCUCCGGCUUCUAUCUCCUUCAUGUCGCCAUCCACAAAGCUCCGCCCUUCCCCAGACAUCAUAAGUUCAUCACCAGACAUUAUCUGCCUGGCCCUAAUUCUCCCAUUGGCUGUGUUGAAAGGUAUUGCAUUCCGCUCGUUGACAUCAGCGGAACCUCGAUCGGAUAAAAGAAUAGGAUCAUCCAUAUUUCUUGUGUUCUCUUUCCUCCUAGAGGGUGGUGGUGGCCCUCUUUCGCCAGCGAACAUGUCCGCGUCAUUAUCAUCUCUUGUCUUCUCUUCGUCUCUGAGCAAGAAAUUCUGGAACGCAUUCCAGUUUCCUUGAUCUCCAUCUUGAUGCCCAUUAGACACUUCAUCCUUGGUGUACUCAUCUUCAGACUCAACAGUGGUUUUCUUGCCCCCUUUUUUCUUCGAGCUCGAGCGCUUAUGAUGAUUCCUCUUGCUGGAUUUUCUGUGUGAAUCAUCACUAUCCUCUGAUGCCACAUCAGAACCUGAUUGAGACUCGCUCUCUGAUGACCCAUGCUUCUUCCUUGAUGUUACAUUUACAUUGCGUAUAACAAUUACAUUAGAUUUUUUCUUGCCUGACCGAUUGCCCUUUUUACUCGACUUGCGGCCAUGAGAACUCUCCCUCUCUGAACCACUUUCGUCAUCACUCUCAUCAUCAGAGUUGUCGAAGUCCUUGCUAUCUGAUGAGUUCUUCCUUGAUGGUCUCCUUUCUGAGUGGUUGUACCUGGGAUCAUCUGUUGGGGGGUAGGGAGGAGGGUAAUAUGGGUUUGCCCCAGGGUAGUAUGGUGGCAUGCCUUGCAUGGGGUAAGGCGGAUGCAUUGCCCAUGGUGGAUAUCCUGAUUGAUAUGGACCACGAUGGGGAGCUCCUAAGUGUUGAGGUGUCCUGUGAUCUGUCAAGCAACAGAAAACUGAUUCCUCAGAUCCAAGUUCUCUCCCACAGUAAAGAAGAAAAGGCGAAACAUGCAUCAAUUAUGUACAUAGGUUGACAAAAAAAAGGGUACAAACUCAACGUGCCUGUGCAGUAAUAACCAGGCAAAAGGGCAUUUCAAAUUGGAAGAAAAAUUGUCGUGUGAAAAUAAGCACAAGGCGGCAAUAUUUACGAAUAAUUUUGGUCACAAUUUUCAGUUAACAGAAAACUUAAAAUAAAACGUUGGUAUGGGUUAUGGAAGAAAUAAAGUGAACGGUCAUGCAGCCUGCAUGAUGCAGGUAACACAGUUCACUUAUCUAAUACAAAUACAAAACAAAGGGUUCUUGUGAGCAUUUGGAAAGUACGCAAAGUGAUGGCACCAACGUACCAGCUUUAGCAGCAUCUUCGCCAUUUGUAUCUCCAUUAGAGACAGACAUUGUUUCUUUAUCUCCCAUUAACAUAAUGCCAGCAGCAUUGAAGGGAGGAAAUUCAGAGCGUGCAGACAUUGCUUCAGGUUCAACGUCAAUCCACUGUCCAGUUUCAUGUUUUUGCCUCCACAAAUCAAUGAACUGUGUACACGCCUUCCUAUUAAUUGAUAGCGAACACCAACACAGUUAGCGGAACAGAUUUGGUACUUUUGCACUCACAGAAAUUGCUUAAGCUACUUGUGCAUUGCAGCAACAUUCAACAAGCCUGUAUAAUUAGCAUCAGAAUGGAAUGCAUUAUGCAUAUGAGGAUAAUCAGCAGCCUCAGGUUCACAUCAUCUAGAGGAAUAUAAGCCGUAUCCAAUGGAAAGAUCCGGUACAUCAAGCAUGAUACUAUUUCAUCUAUUAGAAGGCAUACUUACAUCAAGCGUGAAGCACCAAAACGCUCUGCGAACGAUAUCAAAUAUAGCAGGUUGUCUAUAUCAAAACCAGCAGCUACAGCACGGGCAAAGGCCAUAGCCUGCUCUUUACGUAAGACAGUCUUGCGAGUCUCCAGCACUCUGAGAAGUUGAACUCUGCAAAACAUUGUAAAAAAAAUCCAUUCACACCUUACCACAAUGCAGAUAAAAAAGGAAAUUCCAAAAAACAAGACAUCAUCCCAAAAAAGAGUGCAGAUAAAGAAAUCAAAGAGCUGGAUUUGGCUGUAGAAUGAGUGUGAGAAACCGUUCAUUAGAUGAAAGCAGGAAAAGAAUGUGAGAAAUAAAUACUUUGAAUGCUCCUCGUGUACUCCAGUGUCGCUCUGCAGUGUUGAUGCUGGAUGUGUGCCAGGCUGUCAUUGAUGCAAAAAAACAUGAGAGUUAUAAACCCCUCUUACCACGACAUUUACAUAGCGAAAAAACAGUUUUAUUACCUAUCGACACAGCCAUACCUUGUACAGAACGAGUGCCUUAUCACCAUCAGGAUCAUAACUUGUCUUGCUACCUGUAAAGGGGCAUGUCAGGUAUAUUUGUCGACGGAAAACGGGACGCAAAAUCAUGUUUCAGUUCAGAUCAAACUAUCAUGAGGAAACAUGUAUAAAUCCCUCAGGAUUAAUUUUUAUGCAGGUACGAAUCGUCCUGAAAACUAGUGCACUUAAUGAUGGUUACAUCCAUCUUAUAGAAUAAUCAGCUUCCGACAUAAGUUAGGUAAAACAGAAGAGAAUGUGUAAGCACGAAUCAGGACAGGACAUGCAUCAAACAUAAAAAUACUUUUGUGCCGUCCACUAUCAUGUAGUACUACCUAACCAACUGGCUAACACAACAGCUGUGACCGAUGGUACACCGUACCAAAGUCCAUAACGGAUGAUAGAUUUUAAAACAGCAGCAUCUGCAUUUCCAUUUACGAACAAGCAUUGCCCAAGAUUUAUUGGUAGAAAUGAAGUCGGUAGCAUCUCUUGUAUUGUACCUUCCAUGGAGGAGUCCACAUUAUAGCCUUCUGCCUGGCAAAUCCCAAACACAAACAUGUCACCGGUCUGCUAAUUAUUACUCUCAACAGACAGACAAACAAACAGGUACACAUUACAUUAGAGAUGAUAGUCGUGCACUUACAGAUUUGAGUCCAAUAUUUGCAUUGUUCUGGACGGCGAUGGCGUCGUGGAGCUGCAGUAUCUCGGACUCGAUGGUGGUGACCCGCUCCAGGACCUCCGGCGUGCUCACGAAACGGACGAACCUAAUGCCAACAAGAAAGGAGCAAAAUGUCAGUGUCGGCAGCCAAACAAACACGACGGACAGAGGACGAACCUCUGGAUGGUGCCCCUGGUGAACCAUGGCGCGUCGGCACCCGGAUCGGGCUGGAGCAGGAUGGUGUAGCCACCCUUGGCGAUCUGGUCCUGGGCGGCCUUCAGGUGCGCGACGAAGGGGUUGAGCAGGCCGGAGGCGAUCUUCUCCUUCCUCCCAUUCACCACCACAACCAAAUCACACCUAGAAAAAAGAAAGAAAGAAAGAAAGAAAGGGGGUAAAAAUUCCUUGUGAUGCUACUGUUACCGACACACACACACACACACACACACACAUAAAAGAAAAGAAAUUGUUGCAGAUGCCAAUCAGUAAGGUAGAGUAAUCAGCAUAAGACAAAAUUGAGCAAUAAGUAUGAACCCUGGAUCUAUCACCUCUGGGAGAAAGAGCAGAGCUUUGCAAAGAUUGGGGAUUGGUUUGCUGGCGGCGCAGAUCCGCAUAUUAUGGGAGGGAUGGGAGGUUGAGCUUGAGCUUGAGUUACCUGGUGCGGGUCGGAGUGAGCUGGAACGCGGCCGAGUCGAGGCGCGUGUCCGGCCUCAUCGCCGUCGCCGUCGCCGUCGCCGUGGGUGGGGUUCAGAUCUUGCGGCAGCGAAAGAUCUAGACCAAAAAAUGCUCAAUCUACCUGGAUGGGGGGGGAGCAGGAGCAAGUGCGGGGAUUUGGGAGAAGCAAGAAGAAAGAAAAUUCAACAAGUUUGCGGAAGAGAAAUCCUCUCCUAAUGGGAACAGUUACAGAUGAUGGGAGGGAUAAAUAGCAGGAGGUAAGAUAUAAAUCUGCUGCUGCUGCUGCUUAGUGCGCGAAAGAAAGGAAGCUGCUUUGGUUUGGUGGAAGAAAAGGAAUGGAGCCUUGACAGCGAGCUCAAAGUGUUCGCAAUAAUAGUGGAGCCUUGACAGCGAGCUUCAGCCUACACUACAGCAGGAGGAAAGGAAUCAUAUCAUAUGCAAGCACAUCAACUUGUGAUUUACUUCUAAUCUACAACUACUAUGGCAUUACUGUUGUAAUAAGAGAUUAAAAACAAUUUCUUCAUUUAUUUCUAUUUUACUAUUUAGUUUAGAUCGGCUACAAACACCCUAGUAUAUUACAGUAGGAGUAAAUAAGAUGGCCUCUGCUUUGGAUUCCAUUAAUUUCACUGUGCUACACGAGGACAGGCAGGCAGUCAGUCCUGUAAGUGGAAGUAUGUGAGGAGGAGCAUAAUUAAAAAAAAAAUCAAGCUUGUCAUGUCAUGUGAUGUGACAAGCAAGUGGCACGCCAUACCAUACCAUUACAUCUAGUACCAGGGAUCGUUUUGGCUGGCUGGCUGGCUGGCUGGCUAAUUAAGUUGGUGAUGAGAUUGAGAUUAACAUUAACAUUACAUUAACCGAUGGAGGUUAGUCAGUUCAGUUCUCGUCCUCGUUUUAAUCGGGAAAAAAAUUAGAUACAUAGUGAGAAGGUGAUUUGAGGGUUGUCCCUCAGGAUGAUUUGGGAUCUGAUUUUGUCGACAGUGAUAAUUCUAUUGAGGCUAGUCCGGGGGUAAUGAAAUUCCACGGGAUGUUCAAGAGAUCGCUUCUGCGAUUGGGGGGGAGAUUAAUUUGAACUGGCCAAGCCUAGUUGGUGGCCACAUGCCCACCCGAUUACCCCCGCUUCAGUUAUUCGUGGAUGUGUGGUCGGGAAGAAGGCGCAAAGGAAAAAAUGUGUCUUCUCACCUCGCCCACGGGGUUUCGGAGGAGGUAGCGGAAUUUUAUGGGCAACUAUAGGUUGUUUCGUCCUCGUGCCAUCGGCAGCGUCGUUAUAAGGCGCAUGCUUGCCCUUCAAACCCUAAUUUCUCGAUCCCCAAUCUCUUGUGGGUGAGGAAGGACUUGUUCCUAGCAAAGAAUUUUACUCUUCAAGAUUGCUUUCCCGUGAAAGCUCUGAGUCGCUUUGACCCCUCCCCUACGAAUUUUAAGAUUUCCACCGAGGGGGUGCCCUUGGAUCUAGAUCGUUCACUCAAGUAGUUCGGGGAGAGAUAGAGAAUAAGGGGCAGAUGGACCACAUGCGGAAUCAAAGGCCUCCUCCAUGCAAGAAAAAUCGUCAGGACACCAAAGUUUCCCCUGUUGGAAAUCAGCCGAAAGUUGUGCCGGCGACCAAGGCUAGGGCUAGGGAGAAACAGAAUGUUGUUGCUCCUCCUCCCGCCCCGCCCCCAGCUACCAAUCUCCCUGCACCCCCCUCAGGCCCCUAUUGUGCAAGCUCUAGACCCUAGGUACAAGGAUAUGAUAUGUUUUAAUUGUAGUUGGCCGGGUCACUGUGUGGGGAAUUGCAUUGAGCCAAAAAGAUGCUUCGUAUGUGCCGGUAGUCACAAUGUGAACAACUGUGUGGCAUGGGCUAAACCACAACCCACUGCUACUUACUUUGGAAGUGCAGCCGCCGGUUUAGGGUUCUAUCACAUUGACACUCCUGAGGCUACUGAGUCAAAUUGGUUGAACUAUAAAGACUGUGCCAUUCAUAAGGUGAUAAAGGGAGAAGUUUCUGCUUCGGAUCUCUUAACACAAUUAAAUGGGAUCUUUUGUAAGAACAAGGAUUGGCCGUGGCAGAUCAGAGAGCUAGAGGAGAAAAAUUCCUGCUAAGGUUCCCUCGUUGGAAAAAUGUGAAUGACCUGAUCGAAUUUCCUGCUUUUGAGAUGCCGAUCGAUGGUGUUUCUGUUAAAAAUUUUGAAUGGCAAGGCAUGUUAUACCCUUUUGGAGAUCUUACUAAAGCCUGGGUACAGAUUGAAAGGAUUCCUCCAAAGUGAUGUGCAUGGAAGGUUUUUGUUCAAGUUGCUGCUUGUUUUGGCAUCCUUGUGGAUGUCGACUCUAAUGGGAUCUUCAAGAGUUACUAUGAAACAAUCAGAAUCAAAGUUGCUUUCAGAGACCCCAAGAAAAUCCCCUUUGAGAGAGUGGUGGAGAUGAAAAGGAAAUUAUACAUCCUGUUUUUACUGUGGAAGGGUUUGAACAAAUUAGAGAAGAUUCUGAUGGUGAUGAUGUAGAUCCUGAUGAGGACAAUCAUGAGGGAGAUGGGGAAGAACAUGGAGAAGAGGCUGAGAGAGAGGAUCUCGGAGAUGAUGAAGAGGAUGAAGCAAUUGAUGAGACAGAUAGAGCUAACUUUCAGUCCAAAAGCAUGGAGACUAGGAGUAGUAGUAAAAGUGGCCAAGUAUGUGUUGUUUGUGCAACUGAUUUCCACCCACACAUUUUGGUGGAUGAGGUUCAUGAGAGUUCGUUGAGGAAAUCAGGAAAUCUCUCCCUAUAGAAGAUAUGAUGGCUCUGGAGAUAGAUGAGGUUGAGGGUCCGGGUGUGGAUGUCGUGUCACCCCUCUGUACAAGUGAUGUGCCUAUGUCGGUCCAUCUGGACUACUGUUCUAAACAGCUUCGCAAAUUUGAUAUGAUGGAGUCUGAUGAUGAGGAAGAGAACAUGCUUCCUGAGAUGCAAUGCCUUGCAAAAGAGAUUUCUGUUGUUUUGGGGUCUACCAAAAGAUCCUUGCUAGACAAUUUGGAAAAGGAAGUUGGGCAGAAGAAAAGGUUCAAUUCUGGUAAGGUUGCGACUUCGGGGCCUCUCCUCAAUAACAAACCAAAUACGAGGGGUCAUGGAGGAGUCAAGAACGUGGACAAAGCUAAUGCAUAAAUGCAGAAAAAGAACCUAGAAAUCCCAGCUACAUUCAGAGGUAAAUCUUUUGCUGCCAUUGCUCCUGAAACUUUAAUUUCUCAUACAAAUAGUGGUGAUAUUUGCAUUGGCUGUGAUGAGGCGGAACGGAUUAAUAUCAUUACUGGUAUGAUUGAUGAGGAAAAACUUAAAUGCAUUCAAUUUUCUAAUAACAACCCCGAGAUUGUUCUCCGUGAUAAUCUAGACACACAUAUUGGGCCGGUUGAGAGUGAUCCUAGGUCUUUCUCACCUUUCGCAUCACGGGACACUGCUGAUGCGGAGGUGGAGAAUCCUAAACUUUGUACGAAGUCUAAGCCGUGUGGCUUAUCACACCCUUUUAAAAUUAAAUGAUUUGGGCCUUUUGGAAUAUACGAGGUCUAGGAAAACCUGGUAAACUACAGUGCCUUGAUGAUUUUCUGAAAACUAAUAAAGUUGACUUUGUUGGUUUCUCUAAGACCAAGAAGGAGGUGACUGAUGACCACAUUUUAAAAAAUAUUGCUCGCGGUUGGGAUUUUAUGUCGCAUUCGCUUCCUGUUGUUAAUAUUGCGGAAGGGAUCCAUGUGGGUGUGAAUAAUGAGCUGUUCGAGACUAUAGGGUUUGUGGAUAAAUUUUUUUGUUGCAUUGCUACUGUUAAGAGAAAAAGUGAUGGUUUUGUAUGGCAUCUAGUGGUGAUUUAGGAACAGCCUAUAAUGGAUUAAAAAUGGAAUUUAUAGCGGAGCUUCAUGAGGUUAUGGCUGGACUCUCAUAUCCAGUCAUUUUUGGGGGUGAUUUCAAUUUAGUUCGCUCCGGUGCACACAAGAAUAAUGGGGUGGUCAAUAAUUAGCUCGUUUAUCUAUUUAAUGACUGGAUAAAUAAAUGGGCUUUGAUGGAGAUCAAUAUUGCAAAUAGGAGUUAUACCUGGGGUAACAACCAAGAAAUCCUAUUUUUGCUACUAUUGAUCGUGUUCUGGUUUCUACAUCUUGGGAUACCCAUUUCCCCGUGUCAGUAUUGAAAGCCUUGUCGAGAGUGGGUAGUGACCACACCCCUCUGAUUCUUGAUACCGGGGCUCGGAGGGUUACCUCCCCGAAAUUGUUCUAUUUUGAAAAAUGUUGGCUAGACCAAGCUGCUUUAGAGACCUGGUGGUUAAGAUUUGGAAUACUUCAAUCCCAGGUGAUAGUGCCAUGGAUAUAUGGAUGAACAAAACUAGACUCCUUCGCAAAAAGAUUAAAGGUUGGAGUAUUAACCCGGGGGCUAGUUUGAAGAAAAAGAAAAGAGAGCUUAUGCUGGAAUUUGACAUCCUUGAUGUUUUUUUCAGAAAGUAAUCAAUUGAAUGUGGGGGAUAUAUCUAGACUGAAUGACAUUAAAUUUGAGCUUGAUCUGAUCUGGAAACGGGAGGAAACUGCCUUGUGGCAGAUAUCUGAGGGGAUAAGAAUAAUGCCCAUGCAAUGGCUAACCAUACACAUCGGAAGAACCACCUUGCUAAACUAAAUGGUGACAAUAGUCUAGUUCAGACUACUGAGGGGAUGCUUGAAGUUGCAACAUCCUUUUACAAGAACCUUUUUGGUUUCGAACCCAAACUUAAUAUUAACCUUGGCACUUCCUUCUGGAAGGAGGACAUGGUUACCGAGGAGGAGAAUGAAAUUCUUCAGAAAAACUUUACCGAAGAGGAGAUCAAAAAUGCAAUUUUUGGCAGUUAUGCCAACGGGGCCCCUGGCCCUGAUGGUUUAUCUUUCUUAUUUUAUCAAUCCUUUUGGGAUGUGAUUAAAAAACAUUUCAUGGCUUUGAUUAGAGAUUUUGAGCUGGGUAAAUUAGAGUUGCACGAUUAAACUUUGUGUUAAAUGUGCUUAUUCCUAAAGAACCCAAUGCCAAGGACAUGAAAAAAUUGAGGCCUAUUAGUGUGAGUAAUUGUGCGAUUAAAAUUUUCUCUAAGGUUAUGACUAACAGAGUUGCCCCUGUUGGCCAUAGGCUGAUCUCCUCUAAACAAACAAUGUUUAUUAAGGGGAGGUAUGUUGUAGAGAGUGUGGUUAUGGCUCAUGAGGUCAUCCAUGAGGUUAAGAAAUCUGGAUCACACGGCCUAGUUUUAAAACUUGAUUAUGAGAAAGCGUAUGAUAGGGUGAGCUGGGAAUUUCUGUUUGAAAUGCUUCAUUCGAGAGGUUUUGGGGCUAGAUGGAUUUCUUGGAUUAAAAGUACUUUGAUGAAUAGCACUUUUAGUGUGAAAAUUAACAAUUCGAUGGGUCCUCAUUUUGUUGGGGGUAAAGGGCUUAAACAGGGGGACCCAUCCUCACCUAUGCUCUUUAACUUGGUUGUUGAUAUCUAUUCCAAGAUGCUUCACAAAGCUGCUAAUGAGGGGUUGAUUGCGAGGCUUUUGCCUCAUAUCAUUCCGGGAGGGGUGGUGAGUUUGCAAUAUGCAGAUGAUACUAUUCUCUUUCUGGAGAAUUUUGUAGAUAAAGCUAGGCACUUCAAAUGGAUGUUGGCCUGUUUUGAAAACCUAUCAGGCCUGAAAAUCAACUUCCAAAAGAGUGACCUUAUGACCAUUAAUGUGGAAGAGGAUGUGUCUAUGGAGUUUGCUUAGCUUUUCUGUUGUAAACUAGGUACUUUCCCUAUUAAGUAUCUAGGUGUACCUCUUCAUUAUGAUAAUCUUAGACGCAAAAUAUUCAGCCAAUUAUAGAUAAAAUCAUUACAAAUCUUUUUGGCUGGAUGGGGAGGUUCUUAACCUAUAAAGGUAAAAUUGUUCUGCUCUGUUCUUGCAUUAUUAGCAUUCCUGNNNNNNNNNNNNNNNNNNNNNNNNUUCCUGCUUACUGUUGGAGAACGUUGCAUGGGAAACAAAAAAAAUCCUACGCACACAAAGACCUAUCAUGGUGAUGCUCAUCUACGAAAGGGAGAUCGGAUCCACAUACCCUUGUAGAUCGCUAAGCGAGAAGCAUUAAGAAACGCGGUUGAUGUAGUGGAACAACUUCGUGAUUCAAAUCACCGUCGUCCCACGAUCCGUUCCGAUCUAGCGCCGAAUGGACGGUACCUCCGCGUUCAGCACACGUACAGCUCGAUGACGAUCUCUGCCUUCUUGAUCCAGCAAGAGAUACGGGGAAGUAGAUGAGUUCUUCGGCAGCGUGACGGCGCACCGAUGAUGGUGAUGAUCUAUUCCUGCAGGGCUCCGCCCGAGCUCCGCAGAAAACCGAUCUAGAGGAAGAACUACGAAGUAGAGGUUUAAGGUUGCACGUGGCAAAAGUUGUGUCUCAAAAACCCUAAAACCUCUAGUAUAUAUAGGAGGAGGGGAGAGGCUAGACUUGGGGCUCAAGAGAGCCCCUAGGGCAUCGGCCGAGUGGAGGAGGAGGGGACUCCAACUUCAAUUCGGUUUGGGGAAGGAGGAGUCCCCUCCUUCCUUCCCACCUCCUUUUUUUCUCCUUUGAUUUUUAUUUUAGCCGACAUAGCCCUAUUAGAUUGGCCUCACCAGCCCACCAAGGGCUGGUGCGCCACCCAUGGGCUAUUGGGUUCUCUCUCGGGUGGGUGCCCCCCUCCCGGAAAAACUCGGAACCCAUUUGCCACUCCCGGUACACUACCGGUAAUGCCCGAAAUCUUUUCGGAGGCCAAAUGAAACAAUCCUAUAUAUGAAUCUUCAUUUCCGGACCAUUCCGGAAACCCUCAUGAUGUCCGUGAUCUCAUCCGGAACUCCUAACAACCUUUGGUCACCAACACCUAUAACUCAACUAUACUGAAACGUCACCGAACCUUAAGUGUGCAGACCCUGCGGGUUCGAGAACUAUGCAGACAUGACCCGAGACACUCCCCGAUUAAUAUCCAACAGUGGGACCUGGAUGUCCAUAUUGGAUCCUACAUAUUCUACGAGGAUCUUAUCGGUUGAACCUCUAUGCCAAGGAUUCAUAUAAUCCCGUAUACCAUUCCCUUUGUCCUUCGAUAUGUUACUUGCCCGAGAUUUGAUCAUCGGUAUCCCUACACCUAUUUCAAUCUCGUUACCGGCAAGUCUCUUUACUCGUUCCGUAAUACAAGAUUCCAUGACUAACACUUUAGACACAUUGCUUGCAAGGCUUAUAUGUGAUGUUGUAUUACCGAGUGGGCCCCGAGAUACCUCUUCGUCACACGGAGUGAGAAAUCCCAAUCUUGAUCCAUGCUAACUCAACGAGCACCUUCGGAGAUACCUGUAGAGCACCUUUAUAGUCAUCCAGUAACGUUGCGACGUUUGAUACAGACAAGGUAUUCCUCCGGUGUUAGUGAGUUACAUGAUCUCAUGGUCAUAGGAAUGAAUACUUGACAUGCAGAAAACAAUAGCAACAAAAUGACACGAUCACAUGCUACGUUCAUAGUUUGGGCCUUGUCCAUCACAUCAUUCUCCCAAUGAUGUGAUCCAGUCAUCAAGUGACAACACUUGCGUAUGGUCAGAAAACCUUAACCAUCCUUGAUCAACUAGCUAGUCAACUAGAGGCUUACUAGGGACAUUGGUUUGUCUAUAUAUCCACACAUGCAUUUAUGUUUUCAUUCAAUACAAUUAUAGCAUGGAUAAUAAACGAUUAUCUUGAAGCAGGAAAUAUAAUAAUAACUAUUUUAUCAUUGCCUCUAGGGCAUAUUUCCAACACUUACCUCAUGUCCAUGAUUAGGUUUCCUAAGUGGGCAAUUAAUGCUAUCAACUCCCAAAUGGCUCACUUUUUGGGGAAGAUUUGGAUGAAAAACACAAAUACCACUUGGCCAUGUGGGGGCAAAAUUCUAGGAAGAAAGAAUUCGGAGGGUUAGGGAUUCCUAACAUCAAAGAGUUUAACAUGGCUUUGUUGGCCUGAUGGGGGAAGCGAUUCAUGGACGAUUCGGCUAGAGAUUGAAAAACAUUAUCAGUCAUAAGUAUAAUGUUAGUUCUCCAAAUAUUCUUUGGAGUUGUGGUGGGAAUGGCUAAACCUUUUGGAACAGAAUUACCUCGGCUCUAUCUGGAGCAAAAGUAUUUUAUAAGUGGAAAUUGGGGAAUGGGGAACCGAUUAACUUCUGGCAUGAUGUGUGGGCCGGGGACUGUUCCAUUAAAGUGCAAUUCUGGAAAUUAUUUGAAAUUUGUAAUCAGACAAAUUGUACAGUGGCCCAAGUUUGGGACGGGUCGGACCUAAGACUGACAUUCCAUAGAUGUGUGGAUCAGGAACUUUAACACUUUGGGAUCAACUUGUUGAGGUGGUGAAACAAACCCCUCUCUCAAGAGAACCUGAUUCUCCUGUGUGUAAACUGGAGUCAAAUGCCACUUACUCGGUUAAGUCUUUCUAUGAGCAAAUUAAUUUUGGGGGUGUGGUAUCUACCAUUGGUGAUAGCCUUUGGAAGGUGGUCUGUCCACAAAAAAAUACAUGUUUUUUAUGGUUAUAUAUCUAUAAUAAAGUUUUAACUAGAGAUAACCAUGAAAACAUAGACCGGUGGAAGAUCCUACUUGUCUCUUUUGUAGCUGUAAGGAAUUAGUGCAACACUUGUUCUUUGACUUUGUGGUUGCUAAACAGCUUUGGGGAUUUAUCUUUGAGGUGUUUAACAAUCCGGAAAUUUUAAGCUUUGAUGAUGUUGCAUUGUUGUGGGGUAGUCCUAAGACUAAUGUUGUACCAAACAUGAUGGUUGUUGCCUCCUUAUGGAGCAUUUGGAAACUGAGGAAUGAAUUUUGCUUUCAGGGCGAUCUUGAAGAAGUGUAAAAUGCAUUCUUGCCAAGCUGAACGUUUACCUAAAUCAAUAAAAAGUACUAUUCACUAAUGCCCAGGCAGUUCUUCUACGGGGAUAUAUCAGGUUGCUGAACAAGAGACGUGGGGAGUUGCUUCGGAUUGCGUGGAGAUGACGCUGGGAGACCAUCGGGGAGCCGAGUAGUUUUCUCUCGUUUUUCCUUCUUUGGCCUGUAAUAAAAGCAUUCUAAGGCUCCUUACGUGACGAUGGUGCUAGUUUCUUCCAAGUUUGUGGUUGCUGGUUUAUAAACCUUUCAAGUGCUGGCCGUUUGCCUAGGCUAUGGUUUGUUUAGAUCUUCUUUAGUGGCUUUGGAGGAUAUGUAAGACAAUGUUGCUUCAUUUUAAUAAAAUAGGGCAGGGGGGAAACCCCUUUCUUUCAAAAAAUAAUAAUAAUAAAAAAAAAGAGUGAGAGCCAACAACAAGCUUCCUUUGUUCUUUGCCUCCUUGCUCCCUUUAAUUCGAUCGAGUGCUUUUGUUCUUGAUUGACAGAUAAUUAUAUUCUUUCCAGCAUCAUCAGACAUGUGGAUUUCCUUAUGGAAUAAUCAACUAGAUGAUUCGCAAAAAAAAAAAAAUAAUAAUCAACUAGAUCUAGGGGGUUUUUCGUCAUCAAAGGUUGUAUUUCUUUCCCAUACUUGAGACAUGCGAGGGGACUCGCGUCGCAUCGGUGUCUGCUCGGCAUCGUCAGCCCAGCUGUCUGGUUGUAAACUUCUGUGGGCAAACUAUAAAUCACUGGGGGAAAAAAGGCAUAGAAUCUACCCAUAAAUCGAUUUAGCUGAUCCAUAGGCAUUCAUGCAAGUUAUUUAUUCUUCUGCGUAUAUAUACACCAGAACCAAUACGCACCUUUUCAGAUCAACACGUCCGAUCCACGACUAUAUACGAGCAAGCAAGCGUUAACGUGUAGAUUGCAAAUACAAUGUAAAGGAUUACACAUACUGAUUACAAACAACACAACACAAGCGUAGAGUGCAAGUAUAUAUAUAUAUAAUAUGCACGUAUGUAUGUAUGUAUGUACGUACUAGAAAUCAUCAAACUAAAUUAUCUCAAUCGACACCCAAUCAAGCCAGCCUCAUCAACAACAAAAAUAGUACCAAGAAAAUCCUCACAUCACAUCACAGCACGAUGACCUUGUUCUUGCGGAACGGCGCCAGCAGGGAGAAGGACCGAGAAGCUGCAGCAUUUUGUACAGUUAAAAACAUGUAUGUUUAUCUACUCCAUUUCAUUUCAUUUCAUAUCAGGGAGAAAAUUAACUUAUGCUAGUUCCAUCGCUGAGCAAUUCUAUAUAUUACUUUACAUAUACAUACAUAGUGAUGUGCUAACCUUUGUAAGAAGAGCCCGCGGAGUCGUCUUGUGAAAUGAGGUUUUUCAGCAUCGAACCUGAAUGAAACAAAUAUUGAAGCACGGUUAAUAAUUAAUUACGGCAAUUAAUGGGCAAAGUGUUCGCAAUAAUAGUGUGAUCACAGCUUGCUUGAUUAGUUACCAUCUCCUGCAGGGGCUUCGUCGACCGAUGACGCAUCGGAAUCCAUUGUUGAAGUAUGGCUCUUCUUCCCGAAUUUCAGCAGUUUCCUGAAGCCUUUCGGUUCUUUGCUUCGAGGCUUGUCGUUUUCUUCAUGUGUCUCCUCGGCUGAGACUGCAUACGCAGUAGGCUCCGGUACGCGUGCCCUCACGCUCUCUGCACGGGCAAAUGUUUCGGGUUCCUGCGCGGGUAAUGGGUGGUGGUUGAAAGCGGGAGCCUUGCUUGAAGCAUCCUCCAAUGAUGUUACCCUGGCGAAAGGGGCCUCAUAAGGUUUCUCCAUGGGAGGUAAGGUUGGCUUCUCAAGCUCAUCCUUCUGGUACUCGGGCACAUCCACCUAGCCAUAACAAGCAUUUCCUUAUCAAUGUCGGCUUGAUUAAUAAUAAUAACAAAUGUAAAAGCAAUAUUUGAUUCAAUAACGUGGGAAUAACAUUGCAUUUCAGCCGAAGGCUGUUGCAUAGAAAAUCCGAGCUCAAAAGUACUUACUGAAGAGAAACAAGAAAACAGAUACCCCAACGAACAGAGCAUCAAGUAAAUGAACUGGGGAUGUAUUAGUGUUGGAUCAUACGUACCUCGUAUGAAUUUAACUGGUUGUCAGAUGUAUGGAUGAUAGGAUUUGCAUCUUCAGGAAGAUCCACCGGAGAAGGUGGAGCCCUGAUGGCAGUAUACUCCUGUUCCAGACUGGGAUUCUCCAUUCGGUCACUGCGGCGAGCUUCGCUCUCUGCAGUUCUUCCAGGAGGUAGAACAACAGGAGGCGUAGAGACCACUUCGUUUUCAAGCAUAACAACGGUCUUCUCAACCACCACAUUGUCAUCGCUGUUGCUUAUCCUGGAAGCUUUACUGUUGGAAGAUUUCUUUCCAUCUCUACUUUCUGAAAUAAUAGGGUGUGCUUUAGCUCCACCACGUGGCGCCUCUUUUGUUUCUUUAGCCACCAUCCUAUUCUUCACAACGACAGCAGCAGGGGUUCGUGGGGAUUUGACUUUCAGCUCUGGUAAGGCUGCCGAUUUGGUCUCGUCGAGCUGCAUUAUGGCGGAGAUUUUCUUGGUCUGCACAUCUUCCGGCAAGCUUCUUCUCCGUUGGUGGUCCACGCUGGCUGACUUGGGAUUCGAAGGAUGGUCAGUUGAAGUAUUGCUUUUAGGUUGAGCAAGCUUUUUCAAUCGCUCAAUGGACGAUUCAGUUUUGCCACUUCUCUCCUUUUUUAUGUCGGCCAAGGAUGAGAUUGACUUGCUCACUGCACUUGAAUUGUCACCGCCGAGUUUGCUUGCUUUGGCUGUUUUCUGAGGAUCACUCCCUGGGGUACUGCUUCUGGCAGGAAUAAUUUUUCUUAGAGGCGAAGAGGAUCCUGGUUCAGCGUCAGUGAACUUCGAACUCUUGUGAGUACUUGGAGAAACCUUUGGAGAAGGUUUUGCUUUAGCCUGCGGCGGUGUUGAUACUGGAUUAGAUGCACCAGUUCUUGCAGCAAUCCUCUUUUGCCUCUCUUGCUUAAGCCUUUCGAGCCGUUUGAUCUGUUCGGCUUCCUGAAAAUAUUUAGAAGAAGAAAAAUGUAUCAUCGGUUUGAGCAAUCUUGCCAAUGCAAACAAAUGACAUUCAUAACUCUGUGGUGAAAACCAAUAUGACAAAGAAAUCCAGGAAACCAUUUUCGGCUGGCAGAUAUUUGUAGUUUGCCUUUUUAGGCCCUAUUAUUUGCUUGUAGGUAGUGGUGUUGUAGAGACACAUAUUAACAUAUAGUACUCCCUCUGUAAACAAAUAUAAGAGCGUUUAGAUCACUAGAUAACUCCCUCCGUAAAGAAAUAUAAGAGCGUUUAGAUCACUAGAUAACUCCCUCCGUAAAGAAAUAUAAGAGCGUUUAGAUCACUAGAUAACUCCCUCCGUAAAGAAAUAUAAGAGCGUUUAGAUCACUAGAUAACUCCCUCCGUAAAGAAAUAUAAGAGCGUUUAGAUCACUAAUCUAGUGAUCUAAACGCUCUUAUAUUUGUUUACAGAGGGAGUACAGUUUAACAGGGGCAGGAAACAAUGAUGGAAAAAUAGCAUUUGAUACAUAUGAGCAUGGUGGGGGUAUUAAUUUAACUUUUCCACACCAAAAGGAGAUAGAUAAUAACUAUAGCACUUUGUUGUAUACAAAUCCGAUUUGGUCAUUUAAAAUAUGCGAUGAGGUGCAAAUGAGGAUGUUGAAAAAUGAGUAAGUUAAGUCAUAUGGGCCACACUUAAAACCAUAAGAAAGGAGUAAACCAGAAGAAAAGUAAGUAAAAUGGGAAGUAAUGCAUCACAGGGUACCUGCUCCUUCUUUUCCUUUUGAAGGCCCGCUUUAUACGCCCGUAGGUUUUGCGCGCGUUUCUGUGCAUCGGUUAGUGGGCCUUUGGGCGCUGACAAUCUCCUUGCUGAGGCAUCCUUCCUUCUUUUAUCCAAACCCUCCUGUGAGCUUCUAAGCUUCUUAUCUUUGCCUGGCAUCUUUUCUUCGUCCUCGACGCAAGCUGAUAAAUUCUCUGCAUUUGCAUCUUCAGCACCAACGUCAGGAUGAAUCUGCAUGUGGCUAUCAUAGUCCAUUGAUGGGUCAUAUCCAAAUGAAACAUCUUCAAAUCCACGCUCUGGCAUCAAUUCAUCUGGCUCGUAGAACAGUUCAGCUCCAGCCUUAGCAUCAUCUGAUGUUUUGUGAACAACACUUGAGCUAAGCUCGGCAUCGAUGUCAAUGGCAGUACGGCCAUCAGCUCCAAGGUUAUCCUGUGAGCUGGAGCUAACAGGUAUCAUGAAAGACUCAUCCACACCGUGCACAUUCUUCUUUUCCUCCACAGUGGGUCUCUUGUAAUGUGCCUCGGCGAGGGGGUCCAAAGAGCUCCCCCUGUCCAUUGAGUUGUCAUGUCCAUAAACCAUGAAGUCAUCAUUUGCCCCUCUUCUGUAUCCCCCACCUCCGGCUU
This 17086-nucleotide long non-coding RNA is filed under the name Hordeum vulgare. Its description in RNAcentral is "long non-coding RNA (HVUL_LNC014490)". The stretch from base 16079 to 16165 matches the Rfam family "MIR1120/MIR1122 microRNA precursor family". The record is from RNAcentral. Lineage: Eukaryota; Viridiplantae; Streptophyta; Magnoliopsida; Poales; Poaceae.